Molecule: long non-coding RNA, 314 nt
Filed under: Apteryx owenii (little spotted kiwi)
Lineage: Eukaryota; Metazoa; Chordata; Aves; Apterygiformes; Apterygidae
Description: lncRNA (ENSAOWG00000005483.1)
Source: RNAcentral
GAUGCUGAAAUCACUGCACCUUAAAAACAAAAGGAUUAAGCUGCACUGCAUUCCUAACCCUUUCUUUCCCUUGCUGUUUGUAAUGGAUGGAAGCUGUCACAUCUCUCUAAGCCUCGAACUCCUGGCCUGAUACUCAGUUGUCCGUCUGUCUUCAGAAAGUGAAGGCUGUGUAUGGAAAACAGUUAAAGUUUGGCAUCCGGGAGGUUUUAUACAUGUUCAUGAAUCUUCACCCUAAAAAUCCCUGUGGCUAAAAUGGUGAAAUCUGAGGAACGGAAAGGAUGAAGGAGGUUCCUGCUGCUGCAUGAGUGAAGGAG